This 808-nucleotide long non-coding RNA is filed under the name Marmota monax (woodchuck). Lineage: Eukaryota; Metazoa; Chordata; Mammalia; Rodentia; Sciuridae. The record is from RNAcentral.
GCAAAGAUACCAAAGCAGGUGAUCCUGAUCAGGAGAGGUCUGUCUCCAUAUUAUCUCAUUAUUUCAAGAUUGGUCAGGUCUGACCAUGUCAGGUUAAAAAAAAAAAUUACUGUUGCCUGGCAGGUAGUUUCAACUCAUCACAAGAUGUUUACUGGAUCAGAUUCCUGGAAUCAAAGGUGACUUGGAGCAAAGGGAAUAGAUGUAAAAUGGAGGUGGGAAUGCCAAGUCUUUAAUCUUGCUCUUAGCCACCCAUCAAACAUUUGCAGGCAGAAGUGAAGAGUUAAGUCCUUGUUAGAAUAUGAGUAAAAAUAUGAUUUGGACUUUUUAAAUACCAGCAUAAUUAAUCUCCAAAUUUCUGUAUUUCUUCCAUCUUUAAGUCCAGUCCCAAUAUAGGCUCAUGCCGCAUGUAAGGGAGGGAAAAACAAUUAUUUUUGCUUCAUCUCAUCUUAGGCUCACUAGCUGGGGCUGAUGAAUCAAACUGGUAAAAGAUUAACAGGAGAAAAAGUAAGCUUUAAUUACACAUGUACACAUGGGAGAUCACAAAGUCAAAUGUGGCUCAAGGAGGCAGGCAGAUAAUCGAGGUUUACAUAUCAUCUUAAGCUAAACAACGUUGAGGGGUUUGGGGAUUCUGGGAGAGGGAGAAUCAAGUUCUGGGCGGUGACAAGGAAAAGCAUGGUAACAAGGGUUGUUUAGUAUGAUUUGUUGUGCAGAUCUAAGCCAAUAUCUUCUCUACUGAGAAGGUCCGACAGAAGGAUAUGCCUUUAUCAAAGCAAAUUUUACAUCUUGUGAUGAGUUGAAACUACCUGCC